RNAcentral lists this ribosomal RNA (450 nucleotides) under uncultured bacterium. Its description in RNAcentral is "SSU rRNA". It matches the Rfam family "Bacterial small subunit ribosomal RNA", at positions 26 to 518 of the family's 1533-position model. The record is from RNAcentral.
AGAGCGAACGCUGGCGGCAUGCUUAACACAUGCAAGUCGCACGGCUGGGGUAACUCAGCAGUGGCGGACGGGUGAGUAACGCGUAGGUAUCUAUCUCUGGGUGGGGGACAACCGUGGGAAACUACGGCUAAUACCGCAUGAAGCCUGAGGGCCAAAGCAGCAAUGCGCCUGGAGAGGAGCCUGCGUACGAUUAGCUUGUUGGCGGGGUAAUGGCCCACCAAGGCGACGAUCGUUAGCUGGUCUGAGAGGAUGAUCAGCCACACUGGGACUGAGCACGGCCCAGACUCCUACGGGAGGCAGCAGUGGGGAAUCUUGCGCAAUGGGCGAAAGCCUGACGCAGCAACGCCGCGUGGAGGACGAAUGCUUUCUGAGUUGUAAACUCCUUUCAGCAGGGACGAUUGUGACGGUACCUGCAGAAGAGCACCGGCCAACUACGUGCCAGCCAGCCGC